AACGCGAAGAACCUUACCUGGGCUCGAAGUGUAGUGGACCGGGGUGGAAACAUCCCUUCCCGCAAGGGCCGCUAUAUAGGUGCUGCAUGGCUGUCGUCAGCUCGUGUCGUGAGAUGUUGGGUUAAGUCCCGCAACGAGCGCAACCCUUAUUGUCAGUUGCCAGCGGGUUAUGCCGGGCACUCUGGCGAAACCGCCUCGGAUAACGGGGAGGAAGGUGGGGAUGACGUCAAGUCCUCAUGGCCUUUAUGUCCAGGGCUACACACGUGCUACAAUGGCCGGUACAAACCGUCGCAAACUCGCGAGGGUGAGCUAAUCGGAGAAAGCCGGCCUCAGUUCGGAUUGGAGUCUGCAACUCGACUCCAUGAAGCUGGAAUCGCUAGUAAUCGCGGAUCAGAACGCUGCGGUGAAUACGUUCCCGGGCCUUGUACACACCGGCUAC
RNAcentral lists this ribosomal RNA (439 nucleotides) under uncultured bacterium. RNAcentral describes it as "bacterial SSU rRNA". It matches the Rfam family "Bacterial small subunit ribosomal RNA", at positions 958 to 1397 of the family's 1533-position model. The record is from RNAcentral.